Molecule: ribosomal RNA, 320 nt
Filed under: uncultured bacterium
Lineage: Bacteria
Description: bacterial SSU rRNA
Rfam family: Bacterial small subunit ribosomal RNA
Source: RNAcentral
AGCAAUACGAGCGGCAGACGGGUGAGUAACGCGUGGGAAUCUACCCAGCUCUACGGAAUAACUCAGGGAAACUUGUGCUAAUACCGUAUACGUCCGAUAGGAGAAAGAUUUAUCGGAGUUGGAUGAGCCCGCGUUGGAUUAGCUAGUUGGUGGGGUAAUGGCCUACCAAGGCGACGAUCCAUAGCUGGUCUGAGAGGAUGAUCAGCCACACUGGGACUGAGACACGGCCCAGACUCCUACGGGAGGCAGCAGUGGGGAAUAUUGGACAAUGGGCGAAAGCCUGAUCCAGCCAUGCCGCGUGAGUGAUGAAGGCCCUAGGG